This 497-nucleotide ribosomal RNA is filed under the name uncultured bacterium. RNAcentral describes it as "partial 16S ribosomal RNA". It matches the Rfam family "Bacterial small subunit ribosomal RNA", at positions 28 to 507 of the family's 1533-position model. The record is from RNAcentral.
GACGAACGCUGGCGGCGUGCCUAAUACAUGCAAGUUGAGCGCUGAAGGUUGGUACUUGUACCGACUGGAUGAGCAGCGAACGGGUGAGUAACGCGUGGGGAAUCUGCCUUUGAGCGGGGGACAACAUUUGGAAACGAAUGCUAAUACCGCAUAAAAACUUUAAACACAAGUUUUAAGUUUGAAAGAUGCAAUUGCAUCACUCAAAGAUGAUCCCGCGUUGUAUUAGCUAGUUGGUGAGGUAAAGGCUCACCAAGGCGAUGAUACAUAGCCGACCUGAGAGGGGGAUCGGCCACAUUGGGACUGAGACACGGCCCAAACUCCUACGGGAGGCAGCAGUAGGGAAUCUUCGGCAAUGGACGAAAGUCUGACCGAGCAACGCCGCGUGAGUGAAGAAGGUUUUCGGAUCGUAAAACUCUGUUGGUAGAGAAGAACGUUGGUGAGAGUGGAAAGCUCAUCAAGUGACGGUAACUACCCAGAAAGGGACGGCUAACUACGUG